This 114-nucleotide ribosomal RNA is filed under the name Erinaceus europaeus (western European hedgehog). The record is from RNAcentral. Lineage: Eukaryota; Metazoa; Chordata; Mammalia; Eulipotyphla; Erinaceidae.
GUCUACGGCCAUACCACCCUGAACAUGCCCAAUCUCGUCUGAUCUCAGAAGCUAAGCAGGGUCCGACCUGGUUAGUACUUGGAUGGGAGAAAUAGUAUUCAAUUGCACAAAAUA